This 73-nucleotide transfer RNA is filed under the name Patescibacteria group bacterium. Its description in RNAcentral is "tRNA-Ala". It matches the Rfam family "tRNA". Rfam says of the family: Transfer RNA (tRNA) molecules are approximately 80 nucleotides in length. The record is from RNAcentral. RNAcentral also lists the same sequence under 1 other name.
GGGCCAGUAGCUCAUCUGGUAGAGCACCUCGCUUGCACCGAGGGGGUAGCGGGUUCGAGUCCUGUCUGGUCCA